RNAcentral lists this ribosomal RNA (247 nucleotides) under Fusarium sp. RNAcentral describes it as "partial large subunit ribosomal RNA". It matches the Rfam family "Eukaryotic large subunit ribosomal RNA", at positions 398 to 664 of the family's 3401-position model. The record is from RNAcentral. Lineage: Eukaryota; Fungi; Ascomycota; Sordariomycetes; Hypocreales; Nectriaceae.
CGUGAAAUUGUUGAAAGGGAAGCGUUUAUGACCAGACUUGGACUUGGUUAAUCAUCUGGGGUUCUCCCCAGUGCACUUUUCCAGUUCAGGCCAGCAUCAGUUUUCCCCGGGGGAUAAAGGCGGCGGGAAUGUGGCCCUCUUCGGGGCGUGUUAUAGCCCGCCGUGUAAUACCCUGGGGGGGACUGAGGUUCGCGCAUCUGCAAGGUUGCUGGCGUAAUGGUCAUCAACGACCCGUCUUGAAACACGG